This is a long non-coding RNA of Pollicipes pollicipes, 665 nucleotides long. RefSeq lists it as uncharacterized. The transcript is spliced from 4 exons. Lineage: Eukaryota; Metazoa; Arthropoda; Thecostraca; Pollicipedomorpha; Pollicipedidae. The record is from RefSeq and is a predicted model, not a curated record.
CGGACACCGGCCGGCCAGGACAGCACCGUGACCUCGGGCUGACGGACGGCGGCCCGCCGUGUGCACGUCCACUGACCACUGGUGACCUUUCGAGCUGCCAGAUCGGGCCAGUACGUCGUCCAGCUCGGUCGGAACGUGUCAGUGCUACGUCGACCGGACCCAGUAUGGGGGCUCGUGUGCUCAUCGUGUUGGCUCUGGCUGUAGUGGUGUGUCAAACCGCUUCAACAAGGCGAGUAAAUCCCGGUGUUUGUCUGGACGGUGAGAGGAAGACAGACGGUUGUAACCAGUGUUCCUGCUUGGGAGGGGCCUGGGCUUGCACCCUCAGAGCCUGCGUCGACCCCGCAGAUACAUUUCCUGGAUCGCUGCCAUGCAAGCUGGCUCCCCACAUCAAAGGGUGUUGAAAAAUCCCGCGACCAUAUCAAGAAUACCUGCUUGACUAAAUUAGGCAGAACAAUUGUUGGCUGAUCAAAAAAAUGACAUUUCAACAAAGACCCGAGUUCGUAUGCAUAAUUUUUUACCUGAUUGUAUGUCUUGUAUUAUAUCUCAGGGCCAUGUUUAUGAAGUUAAGCCGUUCGUUCGUUGUUUGCGCGACUGAAUUUUUCCACUUUUAAUUGGAAAUGUAUGCGCUAAAAACGUCUGUCAGGUGAGACAAAUAUAAACGAAAU